Molecule: long non-coding RNA, 820 nt
Filed under: Nicotiana tabacum (common tobacco)
Lineage: Eukaryota; Viridiplantae; Streptophyta; Magnoliopsida; Solanales; Solanaceae
Description: long non-coding RNA (NTAB_LNC013688)
Source: RNAcentral
CUUUUUUUAAAAAAGCAUUUCUUUCAAAAAUUCCCAAAAAAAAAGGGGGUUAGUUUAGUUACUCCAUUUUCGAUGCCCGAACUACGCGGGUUUGAUUCUCACCGGAUGUGAGAUACGUAGGCAACCCUCAUCGGGUCCAACCCCACCUUUUGCUAAAAUAGCCAAAAUAAAUAGAUAAAUAAAAACGUGUCAAAUUUUAAAUUUUGCCAUAAAUAAGUUGGGUGGUGUCCAACCUGCCCUUUUGCUAAAAAUAGCCAAAAAUAUAUGUCAAAUUUUAAAUCUAUCAUAAAUAAGUCAGGUGAUGUUGUUUUGUCAUAAAUAGCCAAAUGUUCCCGAAAGGGACGCCGGAAGGCUGACUUUGCAUAAACAACCACCUUUGGGUCAUUUUUUAAGGUUUGGUCCAGUUGACUCACACAGCCUUAAAAUCUUCGUCACCGAGGCGUUGAAAGGUCGUGUUGGCAAUAUUGAGUUUUCUAAUUUGAAAAACGAUAAAAAGAGUCAUAAAUAAGUCAGGUGAUGUUGUUUUGUCAUAAAUAGCCGAAUGUUCCCGAAAGGGACGCCGGAAGGCUGACUUUGCAUAAACAGCCACCUUUGUGUCAUUUUUUAAGGUUUGGUCCAGUUGACCCACACAGCCUUAAAAUCUUCGUCACUGAGGCGUUGAAAGGCCGUGUUGGCAAUAUUGAGUUUUCUAAUUUGAAAAAAACGAUAAAAAGAGUCAUAAAUAAGUCAGGUGAUGCUGUUUUGUCAUAAAUAGCCGAAUGUUCCCGAAAGGAACGCCGGAAGGCUGACUUUGCAUAAACAGCCACCUUUAGGUCAUUUU